This 388-nucleotide ribosomal RNA is filed under the name uncultured Exobasidiomycetes. Its description in RNAcentral is "partial small subunit ribosomal RNA". It matches the Rfam family "Eukaryotic small subunit ribosomal RNA", at positions 30 to 432 of the family's 1831-position model. Lineage: Eukaryota; Fungi; Basidiomycota; Exobasidiomycetes. The record is from RNAcentral.
GCUUGUCUCAAAGAUUAAGCCAUGCAUGUCUAAGUACAAGCCUCAGUAAGGUGAAACCGCGAAUGGCUCAUUAAAUCACACCUAAUCUACUGGAAAGUUACUAGUUACUUGGAUAACUGAGGUAAUUCUUGAGCUAAUACAUGCAUUCAAGCCCCGACUUCUGGAAGGGGUGUAUUUAUUAGAUAAAAAUCAACUUUGUUGGUGAAUCAUAAUAACUUCUCGGACCGCAUGGCCUCGUGCUGGCGGUGCUUCAUUCAAAUAUCUGCCCUAUCAACUGUCGAUGGUAGGAUAGAGGCCUACCAUGGUUGCAACGGGUAACGGGGAAUAAGGGUUCGAUUCCGGAGAGGGAGCCUGAGAAACGGCUACCACAUCCAAGGAAGGCAGCAGG